This 468-nucleotide ribosomal RNA is filed under the name uncultured bacterium. Its description in RNAcentral is "partial 16S ribosomal RNA". It matches the Rfam family "Bacterial small subunit ribosomal RNA", at positions 28 to 507 of the family's 1533-position model. The record is from RNAcentral.
GACGAACGCUGGCGGCGUGCUUAGCACAUGCAAGUCGAACGGAAAGGCCCUGCUUUUGUGGGGUGCUCGAGUGGCGAACGGGUGAGUAACACGUGAGUAACCUGCCCUUGACUUUGUGAUAACUUCAGGAGACUGGGGCUAAUACCGGAUAGGAGCUCCUGCUGCAUGGGGGGGGUUGGAAAGUUUCGGCGGUUGGGGAUGGACUGGGGGCUUAUCAGCUGGUUGGUGGGGGAGUGGCUUACCAAGGCUUUGACGGGUAGCCCGCCUGGGAGGGUGAACGGCCACAUUGGGCCUGAGAUACGGCCCAGACUCCUACGGGAGGCAGCAGUGGGGAACCUUGCCCAAUGGGCGGACGCGUGAUGCAGAAACGCCGCGUGCGGGAUGACGGCCUUCGGGUUGUGAACCGCUUUCGCCUGUGACGAAGCGUGAGUGACGGUAAUGGGUAAAGAAGCACCGGCUAACUACGUG